Molecule: ribosomal RNA, 445 nt
Filed under: uncultured bacterium
Lineage: Bacteria
Description: partial 16S ribosomal RNA
Rfam family: Bacterial small subunit ribosomal RNA
Source: RNAcentral
GUGAGGAAUAUUGGUCAAUGGGCGAAAUCCUGAACCAGCCAUGUCGCGUGAAGGAUGAAGGUCCUAUGGAUUGUAAACUUCUUUUGCAGGAGGGUAAAGUGAGCUACGUGUAGUUCAUUGCAAGUACCCUGCGAAUAAGCAUCGGCUAACUCCGUGCCAGCAGCCGCGGUAAUACGGAGGAUGCGAGCGUUAUCCGGAUUUAUUGGGUUUAAAGGGUGCGUAGGCGGACUAAUUAGUCAGCGGUGAAAUUUUGCGGCUCAACCGUAAAACUGCCGUUGAAACUGUUAGUCUUGAGUGCGGUAGAGGUAGGCGGAAUGUGUGGUGUAGCGGUGAAAUGCUUAGAUAUCACACAGAACACCGAUUGCGUAGGCAGCUUACUGGAGCGCAACUGACGCUGAGGCACGAAAGCGUGGGGAUCGAACAGGAUUAGAUACCCCUGUAGUCC